This 485-nucleotide ribosomal RNA is filed under the name uncultured bacterium. RNAcentral's name for it is "bacterial SSU rRNA". It matches the Rfam family "Bacterial small subunit ribosomal RNA", at positions 28 to 526 of the family's 1533-position model. The record is from RNAcentral.
GAUGAACGCUGGCGGCGUGCUUAACACAUGCAAGUCGAACGAUGAAGCCCAGCUUGCUGGGUGGAUUAGUGGCGAACGGGUGAGUAACACGUGAGUAACCUGCCCUUGACUCUGGGAUAAGCGCUGGAAACGGCGUCUAAUACCGGAUACGAGCUUCCACCGCAUGGUGAGUUGCUGGAAAGAAUUUCGGUCAAGGAUGGACUCGCGGCCUAUCAGGUAGUUGGUGAGGUAACGGCUCACCAAGCCGACGACGGGUAGCCGGCCUGAGAGGGUGACCGGCCACACUGGGACUGAGACACGGCCCAGACUCCUACGGGAGGCAGCAGUGGGGAAUAUUGCACAAUGGGCGCAAGCCUGAUGCAGCAACGCCGCGUGAGGGACGAAGGCCUUCGGGUCGUAAACCUCUUUUAGCAGGGAAGAAGCGAAAGUGACGGUACCUGCAGAAAAAGCACCGGCUAACUACGUGCCAGCCGCCGCAGUAAAAC